CAGCAGCCACGGUAAAACCAGCAGCCCAAGUGGUGGUCGCGAUUAUUGGGCCUAAAGCGCUCGUAGCCGGGCCGGUAAGUCCCUUGUGAAAUCGGACGGCCUAACCGUUCGGCGUGCAAGGGAUACUGUCGGUCUUGAGGCCGGGAGACGUCCGAGGUACUCCGGGGGUAGCGGUGAAAUGUUCUGAUCCUCGGGGGACCACCGGUGGCGAAGGCGUUCGACGAGAACGGGCCUGACGGUGAGGGGCGAAGGCUAGGGGAGCAAACGGGAUUAGAUACCCCUGUAGUCCCUGUCUCUUAUU
This 301-nucleotide ribosomal RNA is filed under the name uncultured bacterium. RNAcentral describes it as "partial 16S ribosomal RNA". It matches the Rfam family "Archaeal small subunit ribosomal RNA", at positions 459 to 759 of the family's 1478-position model. The record is from RNAcentral.